GACGAACGCUGGCGGCGUGCUUAACACAUGCAAGUCGAACGGAAAGGCCCUGCUUUUGUGGGGUGCUCGAGUGGCGAACGGGUGAGUAACACGUGAGUAACCUGCCCUUGACUUUGGGAUAACUUCAGGAAACUGGGGCUAAUACCGGAUAGGAGCUCCUGCUGCAUGGUGGGGGUUGGAAAGUUUCGGCGGUUGGGGAUGGACUCGCGGCUUAUCAGCUUGUUGGUGGGGUAGUGGCUUACCAAGGCUUUGACGGGUAGCCGGCCUGAGAGGGUGACCGGCGACCAUGGGCCGAAGAGAGGGAACAGUCGGGAACGGGAGACAACAGAGGCGAAUCUGGCGCCAUGGGCGGAAGGCUGAUACAGGGGUGUUGCGAGGGGGAUGCCGGGGUUGGGGUUGGGAAGGGCUUUAAGAUGUGACCAAGCGUGAUUGACGGUACCGGCUAAAGAAGCAACGGCUAAGUACGUG
Molecule: ribosomal RNA, 468 nt
Filed under: uncultured bacterium
Lineage: Bacteria
Description: partial 16S ribosomal RNA
Rfam family: Bacterial small subunit ribosomal RNA
Source: RNAcentral